GUUAAGCAGAAACCAACUCAUCUUUUUUAAGUUGAUAAGGAUUAACUUUCUCCUUGUGUUUCCCUGUUUGCAGGGACUUCUGGAAAGUUCAGGCUAAGUUUCUUGCUAAAUAACAUCAAUGAAAUCAACCUCAAUGAUGGUUAACUAUAAAGUGAAGGGGUGGUUGCAUUGAUCUUCUUCCCUUAGAAAAUUGCCACAUGAUUCCCAGUCACAUCAGUUUUGGCAAUAAAAUGGUACCUGAAGUCAGCUGCUAAAGAUUCUGAAGAUGACUCCUAGGAGCAAGUGAAGAUGUCUGCAGAGCCUUAUUUCUUUGUGGCCUCUUCAGCACUCUCCAGGAUCUCUGGUAAGCUACUAUUGGAUUGAACUCUGCUUAUUUUGCAAAUUGAGCUCCUUGAUUUUGUUUGUUCUAAUACUUCUAGAUAGGAAAUUGUGGUAUGAGAGAGUCCAGAUUUUUCAUGGUGAGAUUUAGUGGGCCACAACUUUUGGGUUUGUGGCCAACCUCGUCUACGAGGCAAAUGCCUUUGGGAGGUCCUUCCAGGUCUUUGGAACUGUGCACAGACAGCCAGAAACAGUAAAUCUGGUUGAAUUUGGCAGUAUUCUUUCAAGGGAAAAUAAUGGGUGUGCGUCAGUUAAAAUAAAGCAAGAUGGCAGCUGUUAGGGGGCUCACAAGGGGACUUAAGGUAGGUCCACAGCAUAAACUACUGGGGGACUUGAGGAAAUAAGUUAAGAAAUUCAGACUUUUUAGACCAAUAUCUCGUCAAAACCUAGGCAGGCACAAGUCAGACUAUUAAAAGCCAUUAUGGUGUCUGUCACUACAAAGAAAUCCAAAAGGAAUAACAGAUCUACUGCUAAUGGGAAUCUUGGAAGCCAAAGCUGAAAAAUUGGUGGGCACUGGUUGAGCACUUAACUACUGAUAGAGGGCUUGCCAUCUAACUCUAUGACCGCCGUGCUAGGAUACAUUGAUUACAAUAUAGAUUAGAUUGACACUAAGUCACCCACCAGACUCAAGAAAAUGUCUAUGCAACAAAGUACACUGUAAACCACCACAAAGUCACCAACCCAGAAGCACAUUGCUCUUA
Leopardus geoffroyi (Geoffroy's cat) is the source of this 1079-nucleotide long non-coding RNA. RefSeq lists it as uncharacterized. NCBI's taxonomy places the organism in Eukaryota, Metazoa, Chordata, Mammalia, Carnivora, Felidae. The transcript has 3 exons. The record is from RefSeq and is a predicted model, not a curated record.